This 360-nucleotide long non-coding RNA is filed under the name Ananas comosus (pineapple). Its description in RNAcentral is "long non-coding RNA (ACOM_LNC011115)". Lineage: Eukaryota; Viridiplantae; Streptophyta; Magnoliopsida; Poales; Bromeliaceae. The record is from RNAcentral.
AAGGAUUAUAUAAAGAAUAAUAAGAUCCUAAGCUACCGUUUGUUUCGGAGUUAAGAAAAAAUUAGUUAUUCCAGAAAUAUGAUUAAAUUUAGGGUUAAGUACGGUUAGAGUAUUUUUGUGUUUGGUUGGAAGUUGGAGUUAGUCCAUGAUAGUGAAAAAUAGUAUUUGGUUGGAGUAGGUGAGAUAAGAAGGAUAGUGGGUUAUUAUGAAUAGAAAAUAGUGUUUGAUUGGGAUUUGGUGUGGUUAGCUAACCCGGAAUAAUCCAUUUUAACUCCACCUAUUUUUAAAAGUGUUUGGAAAUAAAAUGGGGGUUAAGGGGUUAUUCCACUCCUUAACAGAAUAACCCCUUAACCCCCAACC